CCCGCUGAACUUAAGUAUAUCAAUAAGCGGAGGAAAAGAGACUAACAAGGAUUCCCCUAGUAACUGCGAGUGAAGCGGGAAAAGCUCAAAUUUAAAAUCUGGUGGUCUUUGGCUAUCCGAGUUGUAAUCUAGAGAAGUGUUAUCCGCGCUGGACCGUGUACAAGUCUCCUGGAAUGGAGCGUCAUAGAGGGUGAGAAUCCCGUCUUUGACACGGACUGCCAGUGCUUUGUGAUGCGCUCUCAAAGAGUCGAGUUGUUUGGGAAUGCAGCUCAAAAUGGGUGGUAAAUUCCAUCUAAAGCUAAAUAUUGGCGAGAGACCGAUAGCGAACAAGUACCGUGAGGGAAAGAUGAAAAGAACUUUGGAAAGAGAGUUAAACAGUACGUGAAAUUGCUGAAAGGGAAACGCUUGAAGUCAGUCGCGUUGUCCGGGGAUCAACCUUGCUUUUGCUGGGCGUACUUCCCGGUUGACGGGUCAGCAUCAAUUUUGACCGUUGGAUAAAGUCUAGGGGAAUGUGGCAUCUUCGGAUGUGUUAUAGCCCUUGGUCGCAUACAACGGUUGGGAUUGAGGAACUCAGCACGCCGCAAGGCCGGGUAUUCGUACCACGUUCGUGCUUAGGAUGCUGGCAUAAUGGCUUUAGUCGACCCGUCUUGAAACACGG
Molecule: ribosomal RNA, 658 nt
Filed under: uncultured fungus
Lineage: Eukaryota; Fungi
Description: eukaryotic LSU rRNA
Rfam family: Eukaryotic large subunit ribosomal RNA
Source: RNAcentral